GGCUGGUCCAAUGGUAGUGGGUUAUCAGAACCUAUUAACAUUAAUAUUAGUGUCACUAAAGUUGGUAUACAACCCCCUGCUGCUAAAUUUGACUGGCUUAAA
Callithrix jacchus (white-tufted-ear marmoset) is the source of this 102-nucleotide Y RNA. It matches the Rfam family "Y RNA". Rfam says of the family: Y RNAs are components of the Ro ribonucleoprotein particle (Ro RNP), in association with Ro60 and La proteins. The Y RNAs and Ro60 and La proteins are well conserved, but the function of the Ro RNP is not known. NCBI's taxonomy places the organism in Eukaryota, Metazoa, Chordata, Mammalia, Primates, Cebidae. The record is from Ensembl.